GACUGUAAUGGUCCAAUUGGUUAGAAGACACUUAUAAUUCUCAACCCGUCACGUUCAAUUCCGUCAGAUCCCCCGAUUGCUUCGCCCAGCGCGAAUGCCGCGGUGGUGUCCCAUCCGCGUAGGUAACUCGUGUUGAUUGGGAUACCUUAGGAAAUGGAGAAUACGCUUCAGGGAGGCUUUACUCAGCAGAGCAUCUCCCCCGUCGCAUGGCGUGUUGGAUCACGUUCGCUCGGGGAUUUGGACUGGUGGGUUGAGAUGGAGAUUGUCAACUCCGUUAUUCUUUUUGUCUUUUUUU
RNAcentral lists this signal recognition particle RNA (295 nucleotides) under Pestalotiopsis fici W106-1. RNAcentral describes it as "Fungal signal recognition particle RNA". It matches the Rfam family "Fungal signal recognition particle RNA". Lineage: Eukaryota; Fungi; Ascomycota; Sordariomycetes; Amphisphaeriales; Sporocadaceae. The record is from Rfam by way of RNAcentral.